CUGGCGAGCGGCGGACGGGUGAGUAAUGCAUGGGAACUUACCCAGUAGUGGGAGAUAGCCCGGGGAAACCCGGAUUAUACCGCAUCGCCCUGAGGGGGAAAGCGGGCUCCGGCUCGCGCUAUUGGAUGGGCCCAUGUCGGAUUAGUUAGUUGGUGGGGUAACGGCCUACCAAGGCACGAUCCGUAGCUGGUCUGGAGGAGAUCAGCCACACCGGACUGAGACACGGCCCGGACUCCUACGGGAGGCAGCAGUGGGGAAUAUUGGACAAUGGGGGCAACCCUGAUCCAGCCAUGCCGCGUGUGUGAAGAAGCCUUCGGGUUGUAAAGCACUUUCAGCAGGGAGGAAAAGCAGUCGGUUAAUACCCGGCUGUGUUGACGUUACCUGCAGAAGAAGCACCGGCUAACUCCGUGCCAGCAGCCGCGUAAUACGAGGGUGCAAGCGUUAAUC
Molecule: ribosomal RNA, 447 nt
Filed under: uncultured Halomonadaceae bacterium
Lineage: Bacteria; Pseudomonadati; Pseudomonadota; Gammaproteobacteria; Oceanospirillales; Halomonadaceae
Description: bacterial SSU rRNA
Rfam family: Bacterial small subunit ribosomal RNA
Source: RNAcentral